CAGUAGCCGCGGGAAUACGGAGGGUGCGAGCGUUAAUCGGAAUAACUGGGCGUAAAGGGCACGCAGGCGGUUAUUUAAGUGAGGUGUGAAAGCCCCGGGCUUAACCUGGGAAUUGCAUUUCAGACUGGGUAACUAGAGUACUUUAGGGAGGGGUAGAAUUCCACGUGUAGCGGUGAAAUGCGUAGAGAUGUGGAGGAAUACCGAAGGCGAAGGCAGCCCCUUGGGAAUGUACUGACGCUCAUGUGCGAAAGCGUGGGGAGCAAACAGGAUUAGAUACCCGUGUAGUCCCUGUCUCUUAUAC
This 301-nucleotide ribosomal RNA is filed under the name uncultured bacterium. RNAcentral's name for it is "partial 16S ribosomal RNA". It matches the Rfam family "Bacterial small subunit ribosomal RNA", at positions 509 to 807 of the family's 1533-position model. The record is from RNAcentral.